UACGGAAGGCAGCAGUGGGGAAUAUUGCACAAUGGGCGCAAGCCUGAUGCAGCCAUGCCGCGUGUAUGAAGAAGGCCUUCGGGUUGUAAAGUACUUUCAGUCGUGAGGAAGGUGUUAAGGUUAAUAACCUUAGCAAUUGACGUUAGCGACAGAAGAAGCACCGGCUAACUCCGUGCCAGCAGCCGCGGUAAUACGGAGGGUGCGAGCGUUAAUCGGAAUUACUGGGCGUAAAGGGCACGCAGGCGGUUAAUUAAGUUGGAUGUGAAAUCCCCGGGCUUAACCUGGGAAUGGCAUUCAAGACUGGUUAGCUAGAGUCUUGUAGAGGGGGUAGAAUUCCAUGUGUAGCGGUGAAAUGCGUAGAGAUGUGGAGGAAUACCGGUGGCGAAGGCGGCCCCUGGGACAAAGGCUGACGCUCAUGUGCGAAAGCGUGGGGAGCAAACAGGGAUUAGAUACC
This 454-nucleotide ribosomal RNA is filed under the name uncultured bacterium. Its description in RNAcentral is "bacterial SSU rRNA". It matches the Rfam family "Bacterial small subunit ribosomal RNA", at positions 340 to 786 of the family's 1533-position model. The record is from RNAcentral.